Non-coding RNA from Paramuricea clavata, 288 nucleotides. NCBI's taxonomy places the organism in Eukaryota, Metazoa, Cnidaria, Anthozoa, Malacalcyonacea, Plexauridae. The record is from the annotation of a GenBank genome assembly.
UUGGGGAACCUUAUCUUUCGUGGAACUUUCCAACAACUGUCUGGAUCCAGCUGCUCAGUUCCGUUUUUUUGAUAAUAGUGCUAUGUUCAAUUUGAAAAGAAAGGGAUGUUUCGAGGCAACACGUAGGGCUGGUACUGGUUAUAAUCUUCCUAUGUUGUAUUUUCUCCUUGCUAGAAAUCCUUCAGAGAAUUGUCGUGAUCGAGACAAUGCUAUAAUCCAGACCUCUUGGGGAGGUUUAUCUGUAUAUUAUUUACCUGAUAAAAAGACGCGGUGUGCAGUCCUUGGUAA